Molecule: long non-coding RNA, 551 nt
Filed under: Setaria italica (foxtail millet)
Lineage: Eukaryota; Viridiplantae; Streptophyta; Magnoliopsida; Poales; Poaceae
Description: long non-coding RNA (SITA_LNC006591)
Source: RNAcentral
CUUCAGAAAACAAAGUAAAAAAAGCAUCCAGUGCGAGCCGUGGUUUUCGCGGACGACUGAGGCGAGACGAGAUAAAAAGAAGCUUGUUCUUCUUGUCAAAAAUCAGUCAGGAAUAAUAAGAGAGAGAAACAGAAGAACAAGAAGAAAGGACUCAUCCGCCCUCACGGCCUCACGGAUGUUGCCUGCUGCCGCUGCCGCUGUCGCUCGGGGUCGCGGAUUCGUCGUCGCUAGUGCUCGAGGUCGAAGAGCUCCUCAAGGCUGCGCUGGGCGCCGCCGUGACCCAGCUUCACGCAUCUUGCAGUCUGCUGCCACUCUUGGUUGAGGUUGCCGUCGCCGAAGGGACGAUGACAACUGCGAUGUGCUGUUUUUUUUCUUUCCCGGUCAAGUAGAUAAGGUGCGCCUCUGGGGAAGAACGGGUGGAUCGAAGCAUCCCAACUCCUCUUUUGGACCUGGGUAUUGGGCCGUAGAAGUCUCUCAAACGAAUGAAUAGUAUAAAAAAUGAAUUAGUCCUAAAAUGAAUUAUUUCUAGUUUAAAAUGAAUGAGAUUUCUU